This 254-nucleotide ribosomal RNA is filed under the name uncultured bacterium. RNAcentral's name for it is "partial 16S ribosomal RNA". It matches the Rfam family "Bacterial small subunit ribosomal RNA", at positions 524 to 776 of the family's 1533-position model. The record is from RNAcentral.
UACGUAGGGUGCGAGCGUUUAAUCGGAAUACUGGGCGUAAAGCGUGCGCAGGCGGUUCGUUGUGUCCGUCGUGAAAGCCCCGGGCUUAACCUGGGAACUGCGAUGGAAACUAGCGAGCUGGAGUGUGGCAGGAGGGGGUGGGAAUUCCGCGUGUAGCAGUGAAAUGCGUAGAGAUGCGGAGGAACACCGAUGGCGAAGGCAGCCCCCUGGGCUAACACUGACGCUCAGGCACGAAAGCGUGGGGAGCAAACAGG